GCUGGUUUGGAAAGAAGAGGGGCAACGCGGCGGCGGCCCGAAACGAGGUCAAGGUCAGAGCCCUCAAGGAAGCAAGACAGAGAGGAGGCGCAGGAGGAAAAGUGUAUCUGGAGGAGUCCCCCACCAAUGUGGCCAGUACCUCAUGCCUGAUGACCCCUCAUUCUAGCGCCACAGUCAUCACAAGCAAAGCUUUUGAGGAACCUGGUGUCCCUGGGGGCAAUAACCGCCUGGCAGCCAGACGUCUUGGGGCCACGAGGAAUCCCUCCUCUGCCUCUCUCUAGCGUGCCCUUUGGCCUGGACUCCCAAACUGACAAAUAGGAGUAAUCUGCACCUUCUAGGGCCCUUUUGAAGAGGACUUGAGCAAAUGUGUCAAGAAGCAAGCCCAGCGCCCAGUACUGGUCUACAUCUGUGUAGCAAAAGCUACAUAAAUAUCUGCA
This 437-nucleotide long non-coding RNA is filed under the name Canis lupus dingo (dingo). RNAcentral's name for it is "lncRNA (ENSCAFG00020006680.1)". Lineage: Eukaryota; Metazoa; Chordata; Mammalia; Carnivora; Canidae. The record is from RNAcentral.